GGCAGCUUCAGUAAGAAUCUGGGUAAAAUUCAAAUUCAGCUUGAGUUAUAUUAAAUUAGCUGGCAUUCAAAAUACAUUUUUAUUAAGUGUUUAACAUAAGCCAGUCACUUAGGGGCUACGUAUGAAGUUUCAGAGAAGAUGCACUCACUAUUCAGGGGGCGUCAGCAGAAGUGACAGAUGUGCUACUUUGUGGCUUUGCAUUUCAAAGCUGGCCCUUGGAGAGUCCUACGGACUCUUCCUACCCGAGCCCCGCUGGGCAGGAGCUGUGCCUCUGCCAUCAGUCCGGGCGCCCCCGCGGCCAGGGCUGGUCUCUGCAGUGACCGCGGUCCCUAGGAAGACGGGCACCUGGCUCUCCUGAGGCUGGACAGAGGUCAAGAAAGUCAUUUUUCCUAGAGAGCAGAGUCCUGGGUCCCGAGCAGAGCACGCUUUUCCCGUGAGCCAGCAGGAACAGGGCAGAGGGGCGUCUCCCCCGGCCUCAGGUGUAGGCACAGGAAGGACUGGCAGCAGGAACGCGAGCGUCCCACGCAGGGCCGGCAGCCCUGCCCCCUAGAGCGCUCCCGUGCCGGCUCGCAGCGGCGGUGCCCGCAGCUGGGCGUCAGAGCCCGCGGAGCAGCCCGCCGCCGAGUGGGUGGUGCAGGCAGGGGUGGUAUAUCCUGUCUGCCGAGGGCGGGCCCGCCAGUGCCUGCAGAGGGAAGAGCCGGGGCGGAGGCGCCGGAGCAGCUGCAGGAGCCCUCGGCCGGUCGCACACUCUAUGGCCACAGGCGGCCGCUGAGCGCGAGGAGACCACGCCGCUGCCCGCCGCCGCCCCGCACCGCCCGCGCCUCUCCGCCGCCGCCGGCCGCGCCUCCGCCACCAUGAACCACUCGCCGCUCAAGACCGCGCUGGCUUACGAAUGCUUCCAGGACCAGGACAACUCCACGCUGGCCUUGCCGUCCGACCAAAAGAUGAAGACAGGCACGUCGGGCAGGCAGCGCGUGCAGGAGCAGGUGAUGAUGACCGUCAAGCGGCAGAAGUCCAAGUCCUCCCAGUCGUCCACACUGAGCCACUCCAACCGAGGGCUUUGCAGUCCACCAUGCGUUCCGUGGGCAGCUGGAGCCCAGUACUCAGGCUGAGCGAGACCCCAGUCCUGGUGAUCUUGGUGUGUGGGGCCAGGCCAGGCUGGAUGAGCAACCUGCUGAGACCUCAGUUCCAGGACUUAGUGCUCAGGGAGUCAGAUCAAGUCCCUGGAACACCACAGCACUUUAGCAGGAACUUCACACUCAGGAGAGGCAUAUUUGUUUGAAGUCCAUUUCUAGGGCCAGUGGACCUUUGAUUGCAGGGAAGGCUGUCUGGAUGCCCCAUGUUCCCAACAGCUAAGAACUCUGUUCCAGGUUCCCACAAGUGUCACAUGGGAAGAGUAGGGACUGAAAGUGGCAAAGUUGGGAAUUCCCCGCCUCCAGGGAAGACCCCAGCUGAAAACAGAGGAA
Molecule: long non-coding RNA, 1466 nt
Filed under: Cavia porcellus (domestic guinea pig)
Lineage: Eukaryota; Metazoa; Chordata; Mammalia; Rodentia; Caviidae
Description: lncRNA (ENSCPOG00000033824.1)
Source: RNAcentral